GACGAACGCUGGAGGCGUGCUUAACACAUGCAAGUCGAACGAUGAAAUGGAGCUUGCUCCAUGGAUUAGUGGCGAACGGGUGAGUAACACGUGAAUAACCUGCCCUUAAUUUUGGAAUAACCAAGGGAAACCUGGGCUAAUACCGGAUAAGUAAACCUGUGGCAUCACAUGGUGUUGGAAAGUUUUUCGAUUAAGGAUGGAUUAGCGGCCUAUCAGCUUGUUGGUGAGGUAAUGGCUCACCAAGGCGACGACGAGUAGCCGGCCUGAGAGGGUGAACGGCCACACUGGGACUGAGACACGGCCCAGACUCCUACGGGAGGCAGCAGUGGGGAAUAUUGCGCAAUGGACGAAAGUCUGACGCAGCGACGCCUCGUGAGGGACGAAGGUCUUCGGAUUGUAAACCUCUUUCAGCAGGGACGAAGCGAAAGUGACGGUACCUGCAGAAGAAGCACCGGCUAACUAUGUGCCAGCCGCCGCAGUAA
RNAcentral lists this ribosomal RNA (482 nucleotides) under uncultured bacterium. Its description in RNAcentral is "partial 16S ribosomal RNA". It matches the Rfam family "Bacterial small subunit ribosomal RNA", at positions 28 to 523 of the family's 1533-position model. The record is from RNAcentral.